AUUGAACGCUGGCGGCAGGCCUAACACAUGCAAGUCGAACGGUAACAGGAAGAAGCUUGCUUCUUUGCUGACGAGUGGCGGACGGGUGAGUAAUGUCUGGGAAACUGCCUUAUGGAGGGGGAUAACUACUGGAAACGGUAGCUAAUACCGCAUAACGUCGCAAGACCAAAGAGGGGGACCUUCUGGCCUCUUGCCAUCGUAUGUGCCCAGAUGGGAUUAGCUAGUAGGUGGGGUAACGGCUCACCUAGGCGACGAUCCCUAGCUGGUCUGGGAGGAUGACCAGCCACACUGGAACUGAGACACGGUCCAGACUCCUACGGGAGGCAGCAGUGGGGAAUAUUGGACAAUGGGCGCAAGCCUGAUGCAGCCAUGCCGCGUGUAUGAAGAAGGCCUUCGGGUUGUAAAGUACUUUCAGCGGGGAGGAAGGGAGUAAAGUUAAUACCUUUGCUCAUUGACGUUACCCGAAGAAGAAGCACCGGCUAACUCCGUG
This 490-nucleotide ribosomal RNA is filed under the name uncultured bacterium. Its description in RNAcentral is "partial 16S ribosomal RNA". It matches the Rfam family "Bacterial small subunit ribosomal RNA", at positions 30 to 507 of the family's 1533-position model. The record is from RNAcentral.